This 885-nucleotide ribosomal RNA is filed under the name Sclerocollum robustum. Its description in RNAcentral is "partial large subunit ribosomal RNA". It matches the Rfam family "Eukaryotic large subunit ribosomal RNA", at positions 34 to 825 of the family's 3401-position model. The record is from RNAcentral. Lineage: Eukaryota; Metazoa; Acanthocephala; Palaeacanthocephala; Cavisomidae.
UUAAGCAUAUUAAUAAGCGGAAGAAGAGAAACUAACAAGGAUGCUGUUCGUAAUGGCGAAUGAACACUGUUUUACCACUAUCGAACCUUACAUUAACUCAAUGUAUGGAGUGUGAUAUUGGUGUGAUUCGAUGUGGUCGUCUUUAGCUAUGAAAGUUUGAUUGAUUGCAACUAUUCAUAGAGGGUGAAAGUCCCGUAUCACUGCUAAUCGACGAUUCACUUGAUUUGCGCAUGAGUAAAGCUGUUUCGAACUGCAGCUUGAAUGUACGUGGUGAACUCCAUGUAAGAUUCAAUAUGUUCGUGAGACCGAUAGAGGACAAGUACCGUGAGGGAAAGUUGAAAAGUACUCUGGAAAGAGAGUGAACAAGCCUGUGCAACUGUACAUUGCAAAGCGAAUGACAGAAAGUGCAAACUCGUUGCUUAAUUGCUUAUUCGUCAAUAAUUGAUUGUUGCUAUUUCUUUGAAAGACGUUAAGCAGCUUGCCUGAUGAGUCUUGCUAAUGCGGUGCCUGUCGAUUAUGAUCUUUGAUGUGCGAACAAGUAUCGUUUCGUUAUUUGUUGCUCAUCAUGUUAGUGCGCUGAGCACUACAACUAACAUGGCUGGUAUUUACUGAUUACUUGACAUUGAUCCAGAUUAUUGAAUUGUCAAGUUCACUUGGUGCAUUAGUUCAAUGAUCUGUCAUCUGAACCGUCUUGAAACACGGACUAAGGAGUUCAACUUGAGCGCAAGUCGACUACAUGAAUAAAGUAUGGGGCACAGUGAAAGCAAUCUUGCAAUGAAUGUGAACUGAAGUUGCGAUUGUACACUGAAGGUUAGCACAUGAUCUGGGUGGCAGUUUAUUACUUGCCUACUGCAACAGAGCGCUUUGGUUGUGACCCGAAAGAUG